RNAcentral lists this ribosomal RNA (165 nucleotides) under uncultured bacterium. RNAcentral describes it as "partial 16S ribosomal RNA". It matches the Rfam family "Bacterial small subunit ribosomal RNA", at positions 355 to 511 of the family's 1533-position model. The record is from RNAcentral.
UAGGGAAUCUUCGGCAAUGGACGAAAGUCUGACCGAGCAACGCCACGUGAGUGAAGAAGGUUUUCGGAUCGUAAAACUCUGUUGGUAGAGAAGAACGUUGGUGAGAGUGGAAAGCUCAUCAAGUGACGGUAACUACCCAGAAAGGGACGGCUAACUACGUGCCGG